UAUGAUUGAGCUGCGUGCUACAGCGAGGCUAAGCGAGUGGGGGCAAAGUUUCAGUGCAUUCCGUUGAUGUAGACGGCGUGAAAACGGAAACAAGUAUGCCGGCUCACUGUGCUGCAUACAGUUACACACUGCGUCGUACGAUUGAGACAAGGAAACUUGGAAUGACUUUUCAUAGGUUUCCCAAAGACUAUGGGCUGAGGAGGAAAUGGAAGCAGCUCUGAAGAGAGAGGGGUUUGCUGCAAAUGAUGAGUGGCUGCUCUGCAGUGAUCAUUUUAAACCUGUGAGUUUGACAGGGCUGGGCAGAUUUGUCGGCUUAGACCUGGUGUCAUUCCAUCAGUGUUAAACUUCCCGGCUCAUCUUGGAAGAGUACGUGCCAGAAAGACCACGACCAAGCAGCCUUGAGAUCUUAGACAGCGUCUCCCUCAGGUCCCUCUCUAUCUCCACACAUCCACCAACCACUGGAACACAUCUCCAAAGUUCUGCUGGACCAGCUCAGCUUCCCCUCAGAAGAAGUGCUGCCACCUGCCAGAUGAAGGAGCCUUUUGAGAGGCAGCUGGCAUCGUGAUUGGACUGUACUUUGGUCUGUUCCAAUCCAGCUUCAGCUCCAGAGACGGCAGGCGGGACGAGUCAACGGAGGCCUGGUGGACGAAGGCAUGAAGCUGAGUACAAUCCAGAAAACAACAGAGGAGGAGUGCAGUGACUCAGAGCCAGAAUAUACAGAGUAGCAUCGUAUGUCUCUUAGAAAACAUCAUAGUAUAGCCUUUGGGAUGAAAAAACACCAUCAUAUACAUCGUAUAUUGUACAAAUAACAAAGGAAAGAGAUAUACGUUGUAGAAUUGUAGUAAUUGUGGGCUGACUGAUUUACUGAUUAUCAGUAUUUAAUUUUUUACUGAUUUGCGGUAAUAAAUACAUUUAAAAAUGGC
This is a long non-coding RNA of Amphiprion ocellaris (clown anemonefish), 923 nucleotides long. RefSeq lists it as uncharacterized. The record is from RefSeq and is a predicted model, not a curated record. The transcript is spliced from 3 exons. NCBI's taxonomy places the organism in Eukaryota, Metazoa, Chordata, Actinopteri, Pomacentridae.